GGGUUGUGAGGUUAAGCGACUAAGCGUACACGGUGGAUGCCCUGGCAGUCAGAGGCGAUGAAGGACGUGCUAAUCUGCGAUAAGCGUCGGUAAGGUGAUAUGAACCGUUAUAACCGGCGAUUUCCGAAUGGGNAAACCAGUGUGAUUCGUCACACUAUCAUUAACUGAAUCCAUAGGUUAAU
RNAcentral lists this ribosomal RNA (182 nucleotides) under Escherichia sp. E3356. RNAcentral's name for it is "partial 23S ribosomal RNA". It matches the Rfam family "Bacterial large subunit ribosomal RNA", at positions 1 to 175 of the family's 2925-position model. Lineage: Bacteria; Pseudomonadati; Pseudomonadota; Gammaproteobacteria; Enterobacterales; Enterobacteriaceae. The record is from RNAcentral.